This is a long non-coding RNA of Apis cerana (Asiatic honeybee), 5294 nucleotides long. RefSeq lists it as uncharacterized. NCBI's taxonomy places the organism in Eukaryota, Metazoa, Arthropoda, Insecta, Hymenoptera, Apidae. The record is from RefSeq and is a predicted model, not a curated record.
UAAUUGAAUGAAGAUAAGCUCUCAAGAGAAUAUUACGUUUUGAAUAAUGAAUCAAUGGACCAUUGUUCGAUCGAGCCGGAAACGAGUAAAGAGGAUACCGACAAAAUUCGACAGAAUGAUGUUCGAUGUCGUGUGACAGACGGAUCGUGGCCGGAAAAGCGCGAAAAUAGGAAGAGGAAGCGAGCGAAGAAAGAAAGAAAAGAGAGGCGGAGACGUGGAAGUGGCGCGUGGCACUACCGAAUAAGUAUCGAAUGCCGCCAGAUGUUGCGGUGAAGCCAGCUGCUGCACCUCCGCCACUCUGCCCUCUUUUGCUUUUCCUCGCGGUUUUUCGAGAGAGUCGAGCAGAGAACUGGCGUGAAAACCGAAAAAGGACAAGAAGGAAAAGAAAAAGGAGAGCUCUUCGAGCGAGGAGAACAAGAUGGGAAGGAAGUGGCGGAGGGGGUCGAAAGCGAAUAUCCUUCCUGCCGGGGCAACAAACAGGCAGCUGCUCGGAUUUGAGCACGUGCUACUACCACCGUGCGAUGCCACGAUGAGCCUCGUCUUAGAUAGCCGAGGUUGGUAGGUUGCUGGGUAAAGAUAGGAAAGAAGUGAUUUGAUAACUCGAUAGCACGUGCUAUGACUGUUUUACAUGGAAAAUGACCGACAAAGGUUGAUCGGAAGGUAUUAUGCACCAACUCUCUAAAUAGAAGGUAUACUAUAAACGAGCACCAGAUAUCCCCAGGAAGGGUACGAUCGUGCAUGCAUGCGUAUCUCCCUUCAUGGCAUCAACUAUACGAAUAUUUAUGAGAGUGGUUAAUAGAGGAUUGUCUUAUACCACUUAUCUAUAUUCAAAAACGCACAUUAGUUACAAUAUUACAAAUGAUAUUUAUUGGCAUAAUCCUCCAUGGUACCUGAUAAUCAUGCGACACCUGUUACGACACAACACUUACUUAAUUGGAGGCUACGAACAGCUGCCCACACGACGAACCAAUCACGGCUGUUCGCCUGAAAUUCUUCUUUACUCGCGACAUCCCUGACGAGCACCUGUUCCAAUUCGGAAUAUACCAAACAAGGAUCCUUGACCAGAAUUUCGCACGAAAGGAAAGCCCGGAUUGAUUGUCGGAUUCCGAUUUAUUCGAUCGACAGCUCGUGAUUUCGUUUUGACGAUGAUGCAACUAGCCAAUUAAUUAAAACAUGCGGCUAUGAAACUGGAAUAUCAAAAUAUCAAAUCCGAAUUUAAAUUAGAAAUAUUUAAUAUUUCGCAAUGUGUUUUUUUUCAAAUUAAAAUUAAAUAAAUUUUAAUUAAAAUUUAGACUAAUUAGCGAGAAUGGAAAACAUUUUUGUCUAAUUAUUCUGAAUAUAUUUCAAUUUUUAUGUUGUAUAUAUUUUUUUUAUCAUUUUAGAGUAUGGUGUGAUUUUUUACAAACAAGCGAUUGCAUUUAUUACUUAACUGCCAUAGCGAAGCUGGAAAUUUAUCCAUCCGCAUAAAAGUAUAUCAUGCUCAAAUAUUCGAGGAGACUGCAGUUAGUUUCUUAAGUCCUCUGCUACUUUACAACGACACUGCGUAACGAUGCUGGACGAACGGCACAGCUGUCAACCCGUGUCCACAAGAGGACCAUGCUUGAAUUUCUAUAUCGUCCACGAUAUCAUACUCAAAUAUGUGUUCGGUAUAUAUACCACUAUGGCGAAAUUCCUUGAUGUUACCUCAUGCUUAAUGACACGUAAGAGGUCUGCGUAUUACACCUGUCAGGCCACCUUUGCCAAAAAUUACUCAAAUUCUGUCUCUUACGAUGGGACAUGGAGGAUCAACCAGCUGGUGUUAUAGCUUUUCACGAUUUCACAAUGUUUGAUCAACGAAAUUCAAGAAAAUUGUCCUACUGGAAAUUAAUUAUCAAACUUGAGAAUCUCGACAAUUAAAAUUGAGGCAAGUAUUAGAAAAAUUAAACACGUUUAUAAUUUAUUGAUUACAGAUUAUCCGCUACAAUGAAAAUAAAAGCUAAAAAUUUCUUCAAUAAAGAUGAAAUCAAUAUCAAUAGCAGAAAAGAAUAUUUGAAUUUUUUUCAAGAAUUUUAUAAUGAUUAAUUAAAUUGUUACCAGCUAUGUAACAGAGAAUGAAUAAAAUGAGUUCUGAUGGAUAAAAAAGUCAGAAGUUGACAACAGAUGGUUCUUUACGGAUGCUGAAUUGACAAAUUGUUUAUUUUAAAGACAAGCAUUAAUUACUCUUGAUUGAUUCCUUUGCUUUAUCUUACUUUCUUUUCUUGCAAUUUAUAGUCAACAAAAAUUUUAUCAAUUAUAUAAUUUUAUUAACAAUAUACACACAUAUAUAUAUAUAUAUUUUAACAAGUCGAUUAAUUUUUGCAGAUUUCUAUUGUUCAUCGAUAAUCAUCUCGCUAACUCGACAAAAAUAUCAAAAUCGAUGGACAGCUGCUGGAUCUUAAAGACUGCAGAAAAAAAGGAACGCAUUGCAUUCUUGAAAUGCCCGGCAACUUGGUAACGUUAAACCGAGUACAUGCACGAGAGCGAUGGAGGCUGGCACGCGAGUGCUUAUCCGGUAAAAUAGCAGAAAAGAAUUCGUCCGAAGUGGGCCAGCGGGCUCAGUUUCCAGGCCGUGAGGAGGCAGCAACAGAUGGCACCGACCUUGCGGAUGCUGCGUUAGAACGCUUCGUUUUUCUUUAUACUCAAGAUCCUUCCUUUCUACGAUGAUGAUCUUCAAUUUUUCUUAUCAUACGUUUUCUUCAAACAUCUCUAUUCUUUCAUUUCUAUCCACAAACAACGCCACAGAUAUGUAUUGAAAUUUAUCUUCUCCUCAUCCUAACUCUCUCAUUGCACCCUCUCGCACUGAGAGUUUUUCAACAAAACAACCAAAGGGACGCGUGCCGUCUUUUUUAUCUGAGUGCAUUUUGCGGAAUAGUUGCUAUCUGUGGACUCUGAGGGAGGAAAAAAAAAAGGAAUCGGUGAUAUCUUGUUCAAAAACAGAUAUACCACAUAUACCGUAUCAGUGCAACCGCGUAUUCUCUCACUCACAGUGAUAUUAGGACGUAUGAGUAAAGGAAAGAAGGUGAAGGAGGGUGAGGUCGAAGGGGAAAACGAAGAAGGGGCAGAUGGUAGCGUCUUCUUCGCAGCCAAGUGGCAGCGGGCACGCGCCAAUCGAGUCCGAAAGAACAUCUGCCGCUACGUUCCCAGGAGUACAAGAGAACCACCGACUCGCAGGCAACAGGCCAUCUUCUAACAACCAGUCAGUCAGUUUCUUCUUUCCUAUGCUUUUUUCACCUACCACCUACCUCACCACGCGCCACGACUCCCCCUCCACCAGUUUUUCCUUUCUCCUUCUCCUAAGCUUAACUCUCCGACCAUCUACUUUCCUUCCUCAGACCUUCCCUCCUCCGCGAGAGCGGUUUCCUUUCAGUUUUCACAGAUGCUGCAUGGAUCUUCUAGAUCUGGAAAAGAGGAGGAACAGUCGGUGGAACAGUUGCCACGUUGAUUUUUCACUUGGAAAAGGUGGUUGGCAGACGGUGGGAGAAAGGUGGUCUAGGAGGUUUGGCCUGAUCAAUUUUCUUAACGAUGGCACGUGGUACUGUGCUACCACCAGUUUCCUAGUGGGACUUUGCAGAUGAAUUUUUAAUGGAGUGUUAAAUCUCAAUAAGAAUUGCAAAAGAAUUGCGACAAGUCUACUUUAAUUCUUACUUUGAUUCAACUGUAAUUGUGUAUAUUCUUGUUUAUUAAUUGUUUUAUCAAUUGUUUAUUAUUGUGCUACCACCAGUUUCCUAAUGGGACUUUGCAAAUGGAAAUUGUCUGUUUACAUUCGUGUUCGAUACGUCGCACGACUUUUCGUCGAACAAAUCCCCACUCCAAUAUAUAAUUUCGUAAACAAAAUCGUACGCGACGUAUCAUUCUAUUACCGAAAGUUGAACGGAUAGGACGCUUUGCUGCGAGUGCGCGAUUAUUUAUUGCGUAGAAUAUUCUUUCCACUAAUUUUUAAUGGAGUGUUAAAUCUCAAUAAGAAUUGCAAAAGAAUUGCGACAAGUCUACUUUAAUUCUUACUUUGAUUCAACUAUAAUUAUGCAUAUUCUUGUUUAUUAAUUGUUUUAUUAAUUGUUUAUUAUUGUGCUACCACCAGUUUUCUAAUGGGACUUUGCAAAUGAAUUUUUAAUGGAGCAUUAAAUCUCAAUAAGAAUUGCAAAAGAAUUGCGACAACUCUACUUUAAUUCUUAAUUCAACUAAUGGCAGAUGCAAGUACUUCAAACAUAAGGAACGUUCAAUGGCAAAUAUCCUUUAUAGAGCGAGAUUUUUCUUUAAGGUUGACACCGGUUUUCCUUCCACCGAUUCUCCUUUUCUUCUCAUUUUCCUCCUUCCAAUGCAGAUGCAGUUUUUCCAUUAUGUCUCGAGGUCCUCGUGCCACCAGUCAUCCCCAUCCAACCCCCAGGGCGACUUUCGAUCUUUACAGAUCGCGCACGUGCUCGAUACCACCUCCCAGAUUUUCUCUUCCUCCUCGAUCAUCCUUUGUAUCUUGCGAGGAGGAAAUCCGUCGCGAUCUUAAGCUCGUCAUGCACGACGUGGCUCCAUUGUGAAGCGGUACAAUGAUCUGGGAAGGGGGACCGUAGCCCAUCUCGGAUUCGAAAGUCCUCGAGUGGGAGUUGGAGCGUAAAGACAUUUUCUUUUUUUUUUUUUUUUUUUUUAAUAUAUGAAAGACAACUUUAUGUUCGCAACACUUAUGUGCUUAUUCUCUCUUCUGUGGAAAUAUUUUUCAGUGAAAAAAAUUUAUCAAUCUUAAAGGAAAAAAAAAAAUAUAUUGAAAAAUAUUAUUAUAAGAAAUUAUUCAUACAAUUAUUAUGAUAAUGAUAUCGUUACAUAUUUAUAAUAUUUUCAUAUAUGUACGUAUAAUCUUAUUGGCAUAUUUUUAAUGAUUAAUAACAUAUGACUGUAUUGAAAUUUAGUCUUUAUGAGAAAAUUAAUGGACGAUAAAAAUGACGAUAAUAUGACGAUAUUUUAUGAUGAGUUCCAAUUAUUUUUCCUGUCUCUUUCAGGAAUUCGUGUGUGAGUGAGUGAGAGAAAGAGAGAGAGAGUGGAAAGAAGAGGGUCUUCCUGGUCGCAGCUCGAUCAUGCCAGAUGUAGAGUGAAGGUAAGGAGGAACUCGGAUUUCCGAUCGAGGUUCCUCCCUUAAUGCGGCCUCCCUUACCUUGAUUGCCCUGAAAGAUUUUAUUACCCUUAUGAAAUCAAGCUACCGCAAAUCUCGCCCUCGAAUCUUCUCCCCCUAUCAUAAAAGAUUCCAAAAAUGCCAAAUUAUUAAGUUAUAUUAAACGUUAGAAUAUCAAGGU